GACGAGAAGACCCUGUCAAACUUUAGUAUAGGGUGAAAUCUGUAGUUAUUUACUUAAUUUUGUUUAAUAUUUUAGUUGGGGCAACUUAGAAGGAUAAAUACUUUUAUGACACGGUAUUGUAAUUUAUAGGUGAUUUUAUCCGAAAUAAUUGUGACACACAAGUAAUUUAGAUUUUUGAAUAUAGAAUAAGUUACUGG
Molecule: ribosomal RNA, 197 nt
Filed under: Ledella sublevis
Lineage: Eukaryota; Metazoa; Mollusca; Bivalvia; Nuculanida sp.; Nuculanidae
Description: partial small subunit ribosomal RNA
Source: RNAcentral